UACGGAGGGAGCUAGCGUUGUUCGGAAUUACUGGGCGUAAAGCGCACGUAGGCGGCUAUUCAAGUCGGGGGUGAAAGCCCGGGGCUCAACCCCGGAACAGCCCUCGAAACUAGAUAGCUAGAAUCUUGGAGAGGUCAGUGGAAUUCCGAGUGUAGAGGUGAAAUUCGUAGAUAUUCGGAAGAACACCAGUGGCGAAGGCGACUGACUGGACAAGUAUUGACGCUGAGGUGCGAAAGCGUGGGGAGCGAACAGG
RNAcentral lists this ribosomal RNA (253 nucleotides) under uncultured bacterium. RNAcentral describes it as "partial 16S ribosomal RNA". It matches the Rfam family "Bacterial small subunit ribosomal RNA", at positions 524 to 776 of the family's 1533-position model. The record is from RNAcentral.